Ochotona princeps (American pika) is the source of this 337-nucleotide long non-coding RNA. RefSeq lists it as uncharacterized. The transcript has 3 exons. Lineage: Eukaryota; Metazoa; Chordata; Mammalia; Lagomorpha; Ochotonidae. The record is from RefSeq and is a predicted model, not a curated record.
AUUUCUUCUGCUCCUUUGGCUUGUUUUCAGGCUGAGACUUCUCUUUGCCUGUUUGGAAAGGCUCAGAAUGCGUUUUACAAGGACACACAGGAUGUGAUCUUGACCUGUGAUGCUGAGGAGAAGGCUGCUUUGAUGUCCUUGGUGGUGUGGCUGGCAGAAAUGAAGAGAGCUUGGCCCUCAUGGAAACAUGGAGGGUGUAUUUGUAUGUGCACCAGCAAGGUGUUUACCUGGUGUCCACUGCUGGAAGCAGAAAUUGGAAACCAACCCUGGAGAGCAAGAAGACCCUGAAGACUGCCAGCCUUCCUUCUCCUUGCCGUUAGUUGUGAGUGUUUUGUGC